GGAGGACAAGGAUGCUUCAGUAACCUUGAGCCCGGUGGUGGAGGUUUCUUCAGGAACCGUGAGCCCAGUGGUGGAUGUUUCUUCAGGAACCGUGAGCCCAGAGGAGGGUUCUUCAGGAACCGUGAGCCCAGUGGUGGUGGAGGUUUCUUCAGGAACCG
Long non-coding RNA from Bufo bufo (common toad), 158 nucleotides. RefSeq lists it as uncharacterized. Lineage: Eukaryota; Metazoa; Chordata; Amphibia; Anura; Bufonidae. The record is from RefSeq and is a predicted model, not a curated record. The transcript is spliced from 3 exons.